This 1217-nucleotide unclassified non-coding RNA is filed under the name Drosophila pseudoobscura pseudoobscura. RNAcentral describes it as "GA18483". The record is from RNAcentral. Lineage: Eukaryota; Metazoa; Arthropoda; Insecta; Diptera; Drosophilidae.
UAAAGUGAUAAGACAGUGUUGUCAGACGGUCGCAAUUUCGCUCCCAACGCUGGUAAACAGCUGAUGGCACAGUUAGGCACACUUGUUGAAAGAAAGAAUUCUGGAAUUAUUAUAUACAAUAAGACAAUAUUAUGUUGGACAAAGUUAAGAACGUGAUUAUAGUGCUCUCUGGAAAGGGUGGAGUGGGAAAGUCGACUGUUAGCACACAACUGGCGCUGGCACUACGCCACUCCGGACACAAGGUGGGCCUGCUGGACAUAGAUCUGUGUGGUCCCAGUGUACCGUUCUUGCUGGGCCUCGAGGGGAGCAAUAUUUACCAGUGCGACGAAGGCUGGGUCCCCAUUUACACGGAUGCGAGCAAAACUCUGGCCGUGAUGUCGAUUGGAUUUCUGCUAAAGAAUCGCACGGAUCCCGUGAUUUGGCGUGGUCCCAAAAAGACCAUGAUGAUACGCCAAUUCCUCACCGAUGUCAAGUGGGAGGAGCUGGACUAUUUGAUCAUCGACACGCCACCCGGAACCUCCGACGAACACAUAACCGUCAUGGAGUGCAUGCGUGAAGUGCCCUGCAAUGGUGCCAUCAUUGUAACAACGCCACAGAGCGUGGCGCUGGACGAUGUGCGCAAGGAGAUAACAUUCUGCAAGAAGACGGGCAUCAAGCUUCUGGGUAUUGUCGAGAAUAUGAGCGGAUUUGUUUGCCCCAAUUGCACAAACUGCACCAAUAUCUUCUCCUCGAACGGCGGCGUGGAGCUGGCGCAUCUCGUUCAGAUACCACAUCUCGGCACUCUGCCCAUUGAUCCACGCGUGGGCGUGCUUGCCGGCUCGACAGCUUCUGUGCUGGACGAGUUGCCCGAUUCGCCAACGGCCCAAGUGCUGAGGGGAAUAGUUCAGCACUUGGUUGCCCUAACAUAGAUUAAAAACUGAUUGGAUUGUUGAUGGAGUAAUUAGAGACGAACGAAUGCCCAUUCAGAUUCUGUUGAAAUUUCGGCGUGUUUCCCCAUUUGGCAAUCGUGUUGAACCAUCAUCAUGUGGAAUUGUCGCAUUGUGUUUGCCGAGAAUUAUCAUAUUUACGUACAUUUUAUCACAUUUGAUGGGGCAGAUACUCGCAUGGGCAUUAGUAAUGCGGUAGCAAUUAGUGAUCACUGAUGGUCACUGAACUGAUGACUGAAUGGUCACUGAUUCCAUGGUUGAAUUGUUCUUCUUCUUUUUUUUUACUAAUAU